CAUGAGGUGUAUAUUAUCUUUGAUGUAAAUAUAAUUUGGUUGUAUUGUUAAGAUAUUUUUUUUGCCUCUUUAAAUCUACUUCAUCCAGGGUCAUUUAAUUGUUAAUUGAAACCUAUAUACUAAAUCUUUUUUCUUAGUUUUCUUUCAUUUAUAAAAAAAAAAAAAACUAAGUGGCGCCCUCUUAUUUAAUAGUUAUAAUCAAGAUUAUAUUCUUUAAUAGCCAGUCAUAAGUGAACCUUCGAACAAUCCCAAGCCUCCAAUAAUUCUGAGCUACCGUCUGCAAACUCUUGGCAAAAUAGUAACACUGUAAAGUAACGCCACAGGAGGUUAUUCAGAAAUGUAGCUGUUCAAGAUAGGAGAGAGCUUAUUUUGGCAGACUUCAAAGAAUCUUUAUAGACAAUCCGUUAAUCCCGAAGAAUGUUUAUCCUUAACUGUAUGAAGAAAACUCUUAACCCCAUGCACAUCAGCUGUCUGAGUGAAGUAAAAGGGUGCGUGAUAAAAAAGCUAGAGGAUGGCGAUUUAGAUUACCUGCUAUUGAAUAGUAAAACUGAUUUAAACAUGACAAGAUUGGUAGUGGCUAAAUGCUCAUGAUCAGAUAACCAAGGGGGGGAAUCACAAGUAUAUCAAAAACAUGUUCUGAGUGAAAAUUAUAAAAAAAUAAGAUAUUAGUUCAUUUCAAUUCUCUAGUUUAUUAAUUUAUAGUAUUUGAUAUUGUUAUUAUGAAAAUCUAAAGCAUUUUUAUUUGACAUAAAUAGUAUAUUGUAUACCUAGUAGGAAAAGCUUAACAUUCCCGGGCGAUCGUAAAAAUUGCCAUUGGCAAUACGGAGUCUGGGAAUGUGGCUUUUCCUACGAGGUUUACAUACUAUUUUUCCGAAAAUCGGGAAUCAUUAAAAUUACGGUAAAUUAUUACUAAUCAUGUUAAAAAUUUCAAAUUAACAUUAUUAUUUUUCCCUUAAAUAAAAGAAGCCAUGAAACAUUGUUUUAUAACUACGGAAACGAAGUACAUAAUUUUAAAUUGUCAAACUUGACGAGUGAAAAGUUUAUUUGUGGCGUCUUUCCAAAGUGUUGAUUUUUUAACGUUUUAAAAAGCCAAAGUAACGUGUAAAAUGAUGAGUGAUGAUGACUGUUCCAUUUCUGAAACCCUCCCAGAACUCACGGAGGCAGUGAAUGCUGCAUCAUUGGAAUUGUUACCAAUAAAAUCUAGAAAUAAGUAUAACUAUGCAUACAACCGCUUCAUGGACUACCGUACGAAUAAAAAUGUAACUUCUUUCUCGGAAAAUGUUGUAAUGGCAUACUUCUUGGAGCUUGGUUCCAAGAUGAAUUCUUCAACUUUAUGGGCCAAUUGUUCAAUGUUGAAGGCAACCCUUGCAACAUGAUGCGGAUGACAUGAUGUGGAUAUAUCUGAAUAUUCAAAACUUCGGGCAUUCCUGAAACAACAAGCACAUGCCUAUAAGCCAAAAAAAUCCAAGAUUUUAACUAAAGAAGAAAUAAACAAAUUUAUUCAGGAAGCUCCAGAUAAGGAAUAUUUAAUGAUUAAGGUAGCUGUAAUAUUUGGAAUUUCCGGAGCUUGCAGAAUGGACGAGCUGGUUAAAAUGACUGUACAAGAUAUACAAGACCUACUAUCUAAACUUUUAGUUACCAUACCGGAUUCAAAAACCAAUACAUCAAGAUCAUUUAUAGUAAUAGUUAUUGUCAUACAAAUAAAAUUAUUAGUUUGGAAAAUA
Anthonomus grandis grandis is the source of this 1724-nucleotide long non-coding RNA. RefSeq lists it as uncharacterized. Lineage: Eukaryota; Metazoa; Arthropoda; Insecta; Coleoptera; Curculionidae. The record is from RefSeq and is a predicted model, not a curated record. The transcript is spliced from 2 exons.